GCCAAAGAAGGUUAAUGGCCUUUGGACGCGCGGGACUUAAGAUCCCGUCUCUUAGGGGUUCGUGGGUUCAAAUCCCACCUCCUGCA
RNAcentral lists this transfer RNA (86 nucleotides) under Thaumarchaeota archaeon 13_1_40CM_2_39_4. RNAcentral's name for it is "tRNA-Leu". Lineage: Archaea; Thermoproteati; Nitrososphaerota. The record is from RNAcentral.